UUCCGAGGACAUUUUCGAAUGAUUUAGAAGUCAUGGGAGAUUGUACGAAGCUUGGAGAAGUGUGGAAGUAGUUCGAUCGAUCUUAUUUCGAAAACGAACGUUAUUUAGGGGCACGUGAAAAUCGACUUUUUAUACGUACCAAAUUUGGGAAAAUUUCCUUGAUGAAAGUUGUAGGGCUCGUCGAUAUGAUCGCGUGCAUAUGCGGAAAACAAAAAUCGGAGUUCGUAUGAAUUAGUUAUGAUUUUUUUGAAGAAGUUUCCAGUUUAAUAUAAAAGCUACCAUUUUUGGCAAUUUUCCAAAAAUACCGUCAGUUUCCAAAAUUGGAAGCUGAACUUCUCUCUCUUCCUCCCGCGUCCGAACGGAGCCGAAAGCAGGGACUAAGUUCUCCGGCCAAUUUCUUCCUCUUCCGGCCACCUCUGGACGAUCAACCACGUCCAGCAGCUUCGUCUCACUCCUCUGAAGUCGUCUGUGGCAACCUUGCACGGUGGCGAGGCCCCUAGCGGCGGCGGCGAGCCGGUUUCGAUUAAAGCUCAAAAUUGGUCAACGCUGGUUUUCUCCAAGUUCCGGCCACCAAAACUUCCGAUCCUUGGCUCCAUGAACUCCCCUCAACCUGCUGAUCAUCAUACUAGGAGGAUUGCACCUAGAGUGACCGGUUUCACGUUCGUCGGAGCUCGUGGGUUAACCUUGAUGUCCUUAGCAACUCUCUAGAAGGAAUCGAGGCCUGAAAUUGAAGUUUUUACGUCGAAAAUCGAGUUGGUCGGUUUCUGCAAAUUUCCGCCGGAUUCUGGAAAAUUCCGGUCACCUUCAUACUGUUCAAGGUGAUUGACGGUCUUCCUUGGGUGAGCGGUUUCGGUGUGUAUUGUGUUGAAGUGAAGACGCAGCGGGACUAGAGGUGAGACCUACUCUUGAAGAGCCUAAAGCUGAAACCAGAGGCUUUGAAAAUCCAAUUUUGAAGGUCUGGUAUUGAUUCCAUUCUCACUCUGUUCACUAGGUUUCAGUUCCGACAUACUUUUCCUCCAAAAUUUUAUUUUGAUUCUCUAUACACUGACUUCAUUUAUGUACAUAUUGACUGUUUGGAUUUUCUUUUCUUUUCUUUUUCCUUCGUCUUGAGUUUCUGAAGAUGUUGGUUUAGUUUUCACCCAAAGGAGGGAAAGAUUUGAUGCUAGGAUGCUCCAUAUUCUCAUACUGUGUGCUGGAGAGAGCUUAAGAUUUGGAAUUUAUUGGGUUUUGUUGACUGUAGGAGUGGAAACAAAACACUGCUUUCAGUGCUUUGACUCUUCCUUUGUACUAGUAUUUUGCUGGGGUUUCUUUUUUUAACCAAAUAUUGUGCAAGUGAUUAACCACAGAAAA
Rosa chinensis is the source of this 1350-nucleotide long non-coding RNA. RefSeq lists it as uncharacterized. The record is from RefSeq and is a predicted model, not a curated record. NCBI's taxonomy places the organism in Eukaryota, Viridiplantae, Streptophyta, Magnoliopsida, Rosales, Rosaceae. The transcript is spliced from 4 exons.